UACGGAGGGUGCAAGCGUUGUUCGGAAUUAUUGGGCGUAAAGCGCGUGCAGGCGGUUGCUUAAGUCUGAUGUGAAAGCCCUGGGCUCAACCCGGGGAAGUGCAUUGGAAACUGGGCAACUUGAGUACGGGAGAGGAUAGUGGAAUUCCGAGUGUAGGGGUGAAAUCCGUAGAUAUUCGGAGGAACACCGGUGGCGAAGGCGGCUAUCUGGACCGAUACUGACGCUGAGACGCGAAAGCGUGGGGAGCAAACAGGAUUAGAACCGGUACCG
This 270-nucleotide ribosomal RNA is filed under the name uncultured bacterium. RNAcentral describes it as "partial 16S ribosomal RNA". It matches the Rfam family "Bacterial small subunit ribosomal RNA", at positions 524 to 793 of the family's 1533-position model. The record is from RNAcentral.